AUGGCGCUGCCGAUCCAUUUUAUGGCUGUGCUACCACUCCCGAUGUGGGCCAUUAAAAUCAUCAACAGAAAAUGCAGAGGGUUCGUUUGGAAAGGAGAAGAGCAGGUUAGUGGGGGGCACUGCCUCAUGCCUUGGGCAAGGGUUUGCAUGCCAAGGGAAUUUGGAGGACUAGGGAUCAUUAACCUUAAGUGCUUUGGGAUGGCCCUGCGCUGCAAAUGGUCGUGGCUGAGGAGGGACUUGGAAGAGCGGCCGUGGCAUUGGCUUCCGGACAGCACGGAAAAGGAAGUGCAGGCCAUUUUUUAUGCUGCUUGUCGUAUGACUUUGGGGGAUGGAGCGAGGGCCAAGUUUUGGACCGACAAUUGGCUUCCAAACAGAUCUUGGAUCAGGGACAUCACUGGAGGGAUCUCCCUCGUUGCCAUAGCACAAUACCUUCAAGUCUGGGACUUGGUUCAGGAAACAGCCCUGGCUCCGGACUCCCAGGAUCGCCUUGUAUGGAAGCUCACUUCGGAUGGCCAGUUCUCCGUCCAGAGUGCAUAUCAACUCUUCUUCAUGGGCAACACCCGGUUUGCCUGCUCCAGACCAAUAUGGAAAUCCAAGGCACCUCCAAGAUGCAAGUUCUUUAUGUGGUUGGCGGUCCACCGGAAGUGUCUCACGGCAGACAAUCUUGAGCGAAGGGGCUGGCCAUCCAACGGCAUAUGCCCCCUUUGUGUGCAGGAGCCGGAAAACUGCUCACAUUUAUUUGUAAAUUGCAGAUUUACACAGCAGCUCUGGCGGAGCUUCAGGACAUGGACGGGGGCUGAUUUCCAGGUACCCAGCGAGCAGUUUGGCACGGCGGAAGACUGGUGGCUGAAGGCGAGGGUGGCGAUCCCGAAACCGUCACGGAGGAAUUUCGACACGAUCGCUAUCCUGAUACACUGGAGGAUAUGGAAGGAGAGAAACGCGAGAAUUUUUGAUAAUGUCGCCAACACCGUAGACAGGGUGCUGGAGUUUAUUAAGGAAGACAUUAGAAUGUGGCGGGCUGCAGGUUGCAUCUGCGACCUGCCGGCGAACACCUAA
RNAcentral lists this ribosomal RNA (1056 nucleotides) under Triticum aestivum (bread wheat). Its description in RNAcentral is "partial small subunit ribosomal RNA". Lineage: Eukaryota; Viridiplantae; Streptophyta; Magnoliopsida; Poales; Poaceae. The record is from RNAcentral.